This 530-nucleotide ribosomal RNA is filed under the name bacterium enrichment culture clone Cont17_3130. RNAcentral describes it as "bacterial SSU rRNA". It matches the Rfam family "Bacterial small subunit ribosomal RNA", at positions 8 to 525 of the family's 1533-position model. The record is from RNAcentral.
AGAGUUUGAUCAUGGCUCAGAACGAACGCUGGCGGCGUGCUUAACACAUGCAAAGUCGAACGCGAAAAGUUUUCUUCGGGAAGACGAGUAGAGUGGCGCACGGGUGAGUAACGCGUAAGUUAUCUACCUCGGCAUCUGGAAUAACUCACCGAAAGGUGUGCUAAUACCGGAUACGUUGAGAAAUCAAGAAAGGUGGCCUCUGAAUAUGCUACYGUGCUGAGAUGAGCUUGCGUACCAUUAGCUAGUUGGUAGGGUAAUGGCCUACCAAGGCAACGAUGGUUAGCGGGUCUGAGAGGAUGAUCCGCCACACUGGAACUGAAACACGGACCAGACUCCUACGGGAGGCAGCAGUGAGGAAUAUUGCGCAAUGGGGGCAACCCUGACGCAGCGACGCCGCGUGGAUGAUGAAGGCCUUCGGGUCGUAAAAUCCUGUCAGAUGGAAAGAAGUGCAUGGUGGUUAAUACCUGCCAUGUUUGACGGUACCAUCGAAGGAAGCACCGGCUAACUCCGUGCCAGCCGCCGCGGUAAUA